GAUGAAGAACGCAGCGAAAUGCGAUAAGUAAUGUGAAUUGCAGAAUUCAGUGAAUCAUCGAAUCUUUGAACGCACAUUGCGCCCCUUGGUAUUCCGGGGGGCAUACCUGUUCGAGCGUCAUUAUAACCCCUCAAGCUCAGCUUGGUGUUGGGGCCUGCCAACUGGCAGCCCUUAAAAUCAGUGGCGGCGCCAUCUGGCUCUAAGCGUAGUAAUUUCUCUCGCUAUAGGGUCCCGGUGGAUGCUGGCCAACAACCCCCAAUUUUCUAUGGUUGACCUCGGAUCAGGUAGGGAUACCCGCUGAACUUAAGCAUAUCAAUAAGCGGAGGA
Molecule: unclassified non-coding RNA, 327 nt
Filed under: soil metagenome
Description: partial contains 5.8S ribosomal RNA, internal transcribed spacer 2, and large subunit ribosomal RNA
Rfam family: 5.8S ribosomal RNA (bases 1-120)
Source: RNAcentral